AUGGUUGAUCGUAUGAUAGCUGUAUUUUAUACAGAGGAAAGUCGAGACUCACCACGAAAGUGUGAAACAGGGGACUGUGUAGUAAACAGUCGAGGGUAACCUUAGGGAGCAUUAAAAGCUGAAAAGUGCAACAGAAAAUAAACCGCCGAUGUCUAUUUGUAGUACAGGUAAGGGCGAACAAGUGAGGUAAGAGCUCACUCACGAAGAUCCAGGUAACUGACCGUGUGGCAAACCCCCUCUUGAGCAAUGCCAAGAAAAGGUAGGCAGCUUAGAUUAAUUAUCAUAUCCUAUCUUAUUUGAUAGUCAGACAAAAUCUCGCUUAUAGAUCAACCAAAACC
This 338-nucleotide RNase P RNA is filed under the name candidate division SR1 bacterium. RNAcentral's name for it is "RNase P RNA component class A". It matches the Rfam family "Bacterial RNase P class A". From Rfam's summary of the family: Ribonuclease P (RNase P) is a ubiquitous endoribonuclease, found in archaea, bacteria and eukarya as well as chloroplasts and mitochondria. Its best characterised activity is the generation of mature 5'-ends of tRNAs by cleaving the 5'-leader elements of precursor-tRNAs. Lineage: Bacteria; Candidatus Absconditibacteriota. The record is from RNAcentral.